GACGAACGCUGGCGGCGUGCUUAACACAUGCAAGUCGAACGGAAAGGCCCUGCUUUUGUGGGGUGCUCGAGUGGCGAACGGGUGAGUAACACGUGAGUAACCUGCCCUUGACUUUGGGAUAACUUCAGGCAACUGGGGCUAAUACCGGAUAGGAGCUCCUGCUGCAUGGUGGGGGUUGGAAAGUUUCGGCGGUGGGGGAUGGACUCGCGGCUUAUCAGCUUGUUGGUGGGGUAGUGGCUUACCAAGGCUUUGACGGGUAGCCGGCCUGAGAGGGUGACCGGCCACAUUGGGACUGCGAGACGGCCCAGACUCCUACGGUAGGCAGCAGUGGGGAAUAUUGCACAAUGGGCGGAAGCCUGAUGCAGCAACGCCGCGUGCGGGAUGCCGGCCUUCGGGUUGUAAACCGCUUUCGCCUGUGACGAAGCGUGAGUGACGGUAAUGGGUAAAGAAGCACCGGCUAACUACGUG
This 468-nucleotide ribosomal RNA is filed under the name uncultured bacterium. RNAcentral's name for it is "partial 16S ribosomal RNA". It matches the Rfam family "Bacterial small subunit ribosomal RNA", at positions 28 to 507 of the family's 1533-position model. The record is from RNAcentral.